This is a long non-coding RNA of Sinocyclocheilus anshuiensis, 2363 nucleotides long. NCBI's taxonomy places the organism in Eukaryota, Metazoa, Chordata, Actinopteri, Cypriniformes, Cyprinidae. The record is from Ensembl.
ACAGCGCUUCAAAAUAAAACGCCACUUCAAAAUAAAAGUCCCUUCAUAACAACACUACGCCACAAAAAAAAAACAUUUCAAUUACUUUUAAAUUUAGAUCUUUCUUUAAAUCGUGCAGGAACAACAGAUUCCGAGUAAGCAAUCCAGGUGCAUCUUGUUAAGACCGAUAAAUAUAAUUAACUUGCUCGUGUAAUUAAUUAGGACUAAUUACUAAUGAAUAUAAUUAAGAUCGACCGCUUCCGGAUUGACCGUUUUACAAACAAAACUAAAAAUGGCGUCAGUUACAGAAAACACAGAUGAAUCAAACACCCAAAUAAAAGAUAUUCCUGCAGAUCAGUGCCCUUCUGUGAGACAACUGGAGGCUCUUGAUGGGAAAAUCUCUGACAGACUAGAACAGAUCGAGCUCUGCACCAUGAUCCUGAAUGACCUGCUGGAAAUGCAGAAAAUAGUCGCUGUAGGUUUUUAAUAUUGUUUAUAGAUGUGCUUCUAAAAUGCUGUUUGCAGAGCUACUCAUUCAAAUGUUUAUUUUGGUAGGAAAGAUGCCUUGAAAAUGCAUCACUUUGAGGACUGGAUAACUGAACCGUUUCCUUUCAGUAUUAGAAAUCUACAAGUAUGCAUAUAUAAAUAAAAUCUUAUUGUGACAAUGUGAUAGAGCAAUUUCUUUCUGAAACAAGUCAAAUAAUGUAACAACUCGGACAGGAUUUUACUGGUAUUGUAUUGCUUUUUGAUUCAAAAAGUUAUUACUUUGCCAUAAUACUUUAUACAAAACAAGCAUAUGAGAAAUUUCACAUUAUACAUUCUUUAAAAAUACAGAUCUUUACAGUUUCCUCACACUUUGGGUAUCAAAAGCAGUCCUUGUGGAAGCAUUUGUUUCCUCUUUACCUCAAGCUUCUGCGACUCCACUAACAUGCCAGACCAACUUCUCCUGUCUAGUGUCCUUGAUGCUGCCUGAACCCGAAGAAAUCCAGAAUAAGGAAAAGCAAUAGUUUAUUAAGCUAGUUUGUUGCAUUAAAUCAUAAGUUAAUGCCUUAAAAAGUCCCAUGUGUGAAUGAAAACGUAAUGAUGAUGGCACCUGAUGAAGGUGGAAUAAUAAUAAUAAUUAAAAAAAAACAUUGUAGGCUGUCAGUCGAUCUUGAGCAAGAACACAACCAGAAGGGUUGACAGUCAAGCAAGUAGUUCUUUCACCAGUAUUUUUCCAACAAUAAAACAAAUGCAAGAUUUUCAUGUCAUGUGGGGGUCAAUAAAAAAAAAAAUACAUUGAAGCAGCAAUAAUUUUCAACAGGAAAAAUAUACAUAUACACAUAUAACAUUGCAAUGCCCAGAUACAAAACAAAACAGAUGAAGUCACACCAAACAUAACUGUACACAACAAACAUUGAGACUUAAGAAAAAAAAAAGGCUUUUAAAUUUGAAAUACUCAAUGCAAUAGGACACGGCUGUUUCUCUAAAUGAUGACUUGCAUACUAAAAUGACCACUGAAUGCUAACACGCACGAUAUUUUGCUUAUGAACAUGUACAGAUGGAGUGAUUUUAUGUUUUUUCUAUAUGCUCCAUGACAUUGCAUAGUUGCUUAUUUUUGUUAGGUGAUGAAUAAUAACUGCCUUCAAUCAAAAUGAAUAUUUCAUGUAAAGUAACUUGUCAAAACUAGAGUCCUAUGCGAAAUAUGCGAACAAAACAAGGCCGGAAAGCAUGUGCAUUAUUAUAAUUAUUAAGGUACGGUUGAUCAUUAUAUUGGCUGGACCCCAAAGUAAGUGCAUUUAUUAGGGAAAAACUGUGUCGUUCAGACAGAUCGCAUUAUAAUGUUCUAGUACUAGGUUUGCACAGGUCCCAUUAAUAGAUAUUUAAAAAGAAAAUGUAGUGGAUAAAUAACAAAGCAACUGAUUAACAUUUUGGGAGCGACGUACACAGAGCUACCAGCGCAAUGAAGCAUCACUGUCAGUUCACCGUUUAAUUUGGCACUGGAUAGGAAAAGACUCGCUCGGUAAUAUCUAUCCGAUUCAAAUUCUCCAUAUCUAGUCCAUGCUGAAAUGAAAUAACUAUCACGAGUUGUAAGGCAAUUCUUGUCCUACUUGAGUCUGAAACACAAGGAUCUGCGGAGAACUACAUACUGCAUAAGAGAUGCACAGGUGACAGUAAAGGCAGUGCAGAGUCACGUCUCUCAUCUCAUCUCACACCCAAAGUCUGAUUUCUCAUAGUUCUAUACAAAAAUACAAAUACAAUCUAAAGGCUUAAACAUUUAUCAUCUCAAAUGUACUAUGUAUUUACAUGACGGUCAUCUCUUUAGAACCUCUAUACAGCAGUGGUAUAUAAAUGAGGGGCAAACGAGCGGCGUUGAACCGUGGCUGGGUAGUGCACUACAAGCA